This 253-nucleotide ribosomal RNA is filed under the name uncultured bacterium. Its description in RNAcentral is "partial 16S ribosomal RNA". It matches the Rfam family "Bacterial small subunit ribosomal RNA", at positions 524 to 776 of the family's 1533-position model. The record is from RNAcentral.
UACGUAGGGGGCUAGCGUUGUCCGGAAUCAUUGGGCGUAAAGCGCGCAUAGGCGGCCCGGUAAGGCCGCUGUGAAAGUCAAAGGCUCAACCUUUGAAUGUCAGCGGAUACUGCCGGGCUAGAGUCCGGAAGAGGCGAGUGGAAUUCCUGGUGUAGCGGUGGAAUGCGCAGAUAUCAGGAGGAACACCAACGGCGAAGGCAGCUCGCUGGGACGGUACUGACGCUAAGGCGCGAAAGCGUGGGGAGCGAACAGG